RNAcentral lists this microRNA (23 nucleotides) under Callorhinchus milii (elephant shark). Its description in RNAcentral is "eshark_NOVEL_45". The record is from RNAcentral. Lineage: Eukaryota; Metazoa; Chordata; Chondrichthyes; Chimaeriformes; Callorhinchidae.
CGUAGAUAUCUGUUGGAACUCUG